This 492-nucleotide ribosomal RNA is filed under the name uncultured bacterium. RNAcentral describes it as "partial 16S ribosomal RNA". It matches the Rfam family "Bacterial small subunit ribosomal RNA", at positions 29 to 507 of the family's 1533-position model. The record is from RNAcentral.
AGUGAACGCUGGCGGUAGGCCUAACACAUGCCAGUCGAACGGCAGCACAGUAAGAGCUUGCUCUUACGGGUGGCGAGUGGCGGACGGGUGAGGAAUACAUCGGAAUCUACUUUUUCGUGGGGGAUAACGUAGGGAAACUUACGCUAAUACCGCAUACGACCUACGGGUGAAAGCAGGGGAUCUUCGGACCUUGCGCGAUUGAAUGAGCCGAUGUCGGAUUAGCUAGUUGGCGGGGUAAAGGCCCACCAAGGCGACGAUCCGUAGCUGGUCUGAGAGGAUGAUCCGCCACACUGGAACUGAGACACGGUCCAGACUCCUACGGGAGGCAGCAGUGGGGAAUAGUGGACAAUGGGCGCAAGCCUGAUCCAGCCAUACCGCGUGGGUGAAGAAGGCCUUCGGGUUGUAAAGCCCUUUUGUUGUGAAAGAAAAGCAGCAGGUUAAUACCCCGAUGUUCUGACGGUACCCAAAGAAUAAGCACCGGCUAACUUCGUG